GCCGAUGUAGCUCAGUUGGCCAGAGCACGUGAUUUGUAAUCUCGGGGUCGUGGGUUCGAAUCCCUCCAUCUGCUCCA
This 77-nucleotide transfer RNA is filed under the name Alistipes sp. RNAcentral describes it as "tRNA-Thr". It matches the Rfam family "tRNA". From Rfam's summary of the family: Transfer RNA (tRNA) molecules are approximately 80 nucleotides in length. Their secondary structure includes four short double-helical elements and three loops (D, anti-codon, and T loops). Lineage: Bacteria; Pseudomonadati; Bacteroidota; Bacteroidia; Bacteroidales; Rikenellaceae. The record is from RNAcentral.